Molecule: long non-coding RNA, 271 nt
Filed under: Eucalyptus grandis
Lineage: Eukaryota; Viridiplantae; Streptophyta; Magnoliopsida; Myrtales; Myrtaceae
Description: long non-coding RNA (EGRA_LNC007249)
Source: RNAcentral
UUCCCUUUGAGUUGUUGAUUGUUUUAUUCAUUGUUGACUAAACUCUACUCUCAUUGACUAAGUUUGAUACUUGUCAAUAGUAACCCAAAACUGGUCAUUUUUUGGUGUCAACAUAUGUCCCUUUCAAAAAGAAGAUCCAAUUCAAUUAAACUGGAUAAUCAAAAGCCAUCAUAUGGCUUCUUGUCAUUGGCAAAUUUGACUGAAUUGCCUCUUGAAUUGUUUUCUUGAAAAUAACAUAAAUAACUAUGUCAUGGUAGAAAUACUCAGCUCC